GGGGCCUUAGCUCAGCUGGGAGAGCGCCUGCUUUGCCACGCAGGAGGUCAGCGGUUCGAUCCCGGCUAGGCUCCACCA
RNAcentral lists this transfer RNA (78 nucleotides) under Bacillus subtilis. Its description in RNAcentral is "tRNA-OTHER". It matches the Rfam family "tRNA". From Rfam's summary of the family: Transfer RNA (tRNA) molecules are approximately 80 nucleotides in length. Their secondary structure includes four short double-helical elements and three loops (D, anti-codon, and T loops). The record is from RNAcentral. Lineage: Bacteria; Bacillati; Bacillota; Bacilli; Caryophanales; Bacillaceae.